GAAACUUAGGAUUACGCAAACCGAAG
RNAcentral lists this transfer RNA (26 nucleotides) under Eremophila alpestris (horned lark). Its description in RNAcentral is "partial tRNA-Trp". Lineage: Eukaryota; Metazoa; Chordata; Aves; Passeriformes; Alaudidae. The record is from RNAcentral.